AUAAAGUUUGAUAAGAGGCUUGCAUGUUUGUUAUGUGUUCCAUAUACGUAGAGUGUAUACGCAGUGUUGGGCUGUGAAGAUACGUAUAAUCAUGUGUGUUAUUGUCGGCUAUAAUACAAGUACGUGUAUAAUAACUAUAGCCUGGGCUUAUACAAGGUCAAGGUACCGCCCCCUCUAAUGUAAUUAAGACCACCACUUGCUCUACUAAUAGUCCACUUGCGUAUGCUUAUUGCUAACCGUCAACUUUAACCUAUACAGCUAACUUCCCUCCUCUCAUCUAUAUGGUCCUCACAGCCUCUAUGUUACGCUGGGGGAAGAGGUGUUCAAUGUGACUGAUGACAAGGGCAGUAUCAACGUGAUAUUGGUGGAUGGACUGCCAGCUUGGGACCACUCUACUACUAUACGCCUAUACGCCCACACACAGGCACUGGGAGUACUACUGUUCAAGCUGUGCUUCAUGGAUACUCCAUUUAGUGACAACCCUCUAGCCUGGUGACAACCCUCUAGCCAUAGUCAGUGCUCAGUACAGCAUUCCUGAAGACUCCCUACACACAAGACCUGCACAACUUGAGAGGACCUCAAGAAAGAAGAAAAUUGAUUCUUCCAAGAUCAGUUCAGUGUAUUAUAAUAUCUAUUGAGAAAAAAGACUUGUGUACAUGCAUAUUGUUAUCUAUAUUGUUAAUGGUAGCGUUUUGUGGCUUACCAGGCCCUCAAGACAAAGAUGGAUCUGCCAGGAGGAUCUGGAUCUUGGAUAUUAUUUUCUCACACAUGAGGAAUGAGCGCGCAUGCGCAUUACAUCCACAGGAAUAAUUAAAGGGUGUGUCCAAAGAGAUCAAUUUCACAAAAAUAAUGGCUACUGCUAGCUAGCUGUUUUAACAUAUAUUUUCUGAGUAUUGUAGCAUAGAUAGUAGAUCUAUGAUUGUAGCUAACAAAAAGCUAGAGCUUUAGUGCAAGGCUAACUCGUGUUGAAUAGAAAGUUUGUGGGGACAGAUGAUGUUAUGAAAGAGACUGCAACAGCCUUCAAUGUGAGUCGAACUAGCCGUAACUGGAGAAAGAAGCUUAAGUUUGCUAAUCCUCGAAUCAAAAUCCAAGAGAACGUGGCUAGAAGCCUAUACAAGCUGUUAGCUUUUGUCGUAUUACAACAGUUGAGCAGUUACAGCUGGAACAGACACACACAGUCAGCUUUACAGUAUCCCACGUGCGGCUACGCCUCGAGGCAUAAUGAGCAUACAUUUUUAUUAUGAUAUCAUUAAUAUUCAGAUUUCUAGGGGGGGGGAUAUGUUGGCUGGGGGUAGGAAAUCCCGAAAUCCUGUUAGUAGUUUUGUUUCUUUAGUUGUGUGGGUGGCUGUAUUGCAUGUUAGUUGCAAUUAGUUGGCAACUGAACUCCUUUCAACAACUUGACAUGAUUCGCCAAUAUACCGUAGUAGAGAUGUCAGACCGGAAGUAGUGCGUGGGGAUAUUUUCGUACAGUAAUUCAAUAGUAAAAAACGGGACCAGAAAGUGAGUGAACAAGAAGGGCUUUCCGCAAGCCCUGGAAGAGUCUAGCAAACAACAGCUGUUCCUAAGGGUAAAAAAUAGCGUAGAAUUUGAUUUUUAUAACAGUUUUUUAUGAUUUUAGCUUGUUUUGUGUGUGAUUUUUUCUCAAAGGUGAUCAUCAUUUUGGCAACCAAA
This is a long non-coding RNA of Halichondria panicea, 1671 nucleotides long. RefSeq lists it as uncharacterized. NCBI's taxonomy places the organism in Eukaryota, Metazoa, Porifera, Demospongiae, Suberitida, Halichondriidae. The record is from RefSeq and is a predicted model, not a curated record. The transcript is spliced from 2 exons.